Molecule: long non-coding RNA, 624 nt
Organism: Dendronephthya gigantea
Lineage: Eukaryota; Metazoa; Cnidaria; Anthozoa; Malacalcyonacea; Nephtheidae
Exons: 5
Source: RefSeq, a predicted model, not a curated record
AAGAUUGCAUGUAUAAAUAGCUAAACUUUUCUUCCACUGUUUAGGAAAGAGAAAGUAUCAAAAGCUUUUGUUUCCGUUUUUGAUUGAAUUUGUGGACAAAAUAUGAAAGCAGAUUUGUGUGUCUUCGUUGUGGUAAGCACAGUUUUCUUUCUGUCAAGCUGUGUCCACGCUCGAGAAUUAUGUGGAACAGAUGGCAACACAUACGUCGAUCUUCCUUUGAUGAUAAAAACUGCUAAUGACUUCAAUCAACAUCUUUUGAUUUUUUAUUGGGGACCCUGCGACCAAAAGUGUGCACCUCUACAAUUUUGCGGCAUGGAAUUCAAUCCUCAAUGUGGUACAGACGGGCAGACGUAUCCUGAUCCGUGUUUCUUUAAAAUUGCUCAAUGUGAAAGUGAUGGGAGAAUUAGACUGGCCCAUCAUGGAAUGUGUUGACCAUAUGGAACUGAAUGAAAAGUAAACAAGAUUGGAGAAGUUUUGAUGUCAUAUAUGUUUAGUACAAUUGAUGUGUAGUUUGUGAAGCAUACUGUAAACUUUUGUUUGGGGAAACAUAUGUUCUAUUCUUCAAUCAACUUACAAAUAAAUGGUUGAUCAUGAAUCAUCAAGAUUCGUUAUCUUUUUGCAUAC